RNAcentral lists this ribosomal RNA (253 nucleotides) under uncultured bacterium. RNAcentral describes it as "partial 16S ribosomal RNA". It matches the Rfam family "Bacterial small subunit ribosomal RNA", at positions 524 to 776 of the family's 1533-position model. The record is from RNAcentral.
UACGGAGGGUGCAAGCGUUAUCCGGAUUCACUGGGUUUAAAGGGUGCGUAGGAGGGCAGGUAAGUCAGUGGUGAAAUCCCCGAGCUUAACUUGGGAAUUGCGCUCGAAACUACGGAGCUGGAGUGUGGCAGAGGAAGGUGGAAUUCCACGUGUAGCGGUGAAAUGCGUAGAGAUGUGGAGGAACACCGAUGGCGAAGGCAGCCUUCUGGGCCAACACUGACGCUCAUGCACGAAAGCGUGGGGAGCAAACAGG